Molecule: microRNA precursor, 93 nt
Filed under: Canis lupus familiaris (dog)
Lineage: Eukaryota; Metazoa; Chordata; Mammalia; Carnivora; Canidae
Description: mir-8799 microRNA precursor family
Rfam family: mir-8799 microRNA precursor family
Source: Rfam by way of RNAcentral
GGGGGGAGGCUGGAUCCUGCGCUGUGUCCCAGCGCCCAGUGCUCUGGAGCCUGCGCUGUUGGAUUCGGGCUUCCAGAAUCCGAUUUGUGACCC